Molecule: ribosomal RNA, 266 nt
Filed under: uncultured prokaryote
Description: partial 16S ribosomal RNA
Rfam family: Bacterial small subunit ribosomal RNA
Source: RNAcentral
UACGUAGGUGGCGAGCGUUGUCCGGAUUUACUGGGCGUAAAGGGAGCGUAGGCGGACUUUUAAGUGAGAUGUGAAAUACCCGGGCUCAACUUGGGUGCUGCAUUUCAAACUGGAAGUCUAGAGUGCAGGAGAGGAGAAUGGAAUUCCUAGUGUAGCGGUGAAAUGCGUAGAGAUUAGGAAGAACACCAGUGGCGAAGGCGAUUCUCUGGUCUGUAACUGACGCUGAGGCUCGAAAGCGUGGGGAGCAAACAGGAUUAGAUACCCGU